This 455-nucleotide ribosomal RNA is filed under the name uncultured bacterium. RNAcentral describes it as "bacterial SSU rRNA". It matches the Rfam family "Bacterial small subunit ribosomal RNA", at positions 28 to 479 of the family's 1533-position model. The record is from RNAcentral.
GAUGAACGCUAGCGGCAGGCCUAAUACAUGCAAGCCGAACGGUAAGAUUUGUAGCAAUACGAGUCCUAGAGUGGCGUAAGGGUGCGUAACACGUAUGCAAUCUGCCCGCAACUGGAGGAUAGCUCGGGGAAACCCGGAUUAACCCUCCAUAAGAUCACACAAUGGCAUCAAAGAGUGAUUAAAUCUCCGGAGGUUGCGGAUGAGCAUGCGGUUGAUAGCUAGUUGGUAGUGUAACGGACUACCAAGGCAAUGAUCAAUAGGGGAACUGAGAGGUUGAACCCCCACACUGGCACUGAGAUACGGGCCAGACUCCUACGGGAGGCAGCAGUAGGGAAUAUUGGUCAAUGGGUGAAAGCCUGAACCAGCCAUGCCGCGUGCAAGGAAGAAGGCCUUCUGGGUUGUAAACUGCUUUAGCCAGGGAUAAAGACUCUCAUGCGUGAGAGGCUGAAGGUACC